UUUGCCAAUAAAUCAGAAAGUCAGAUAAGGAAAGUCAGCUGGAUGUUAACAGGCUUCUUUUACAUUUAUUCUACAUAUUUUUCAGCAUCGAGCAGCAAAAUCUGGCAGUUUUGCAUAAAUUUGUUCCUGAUUAGAUGAUCAAGAAACACUAAGCAACAGUGAAUGAGCAUGGAAAACGUGACCUCUGGCUACAGCUCACACAAGACAGACACACCAAGGUUUAAUGGGAAUGAACUAAUAAAUACAAAGAGGGAAGGAAUAUAAAUGGGGCUGGGUGAUCAAUUAAUUUUAUCUUUUAACUCAAUUUUCUAUGCCUGAAGAUCUCCAUUUUUUCUUUUCACCGAUGAACUUUUUUACAGUUCAGAGGAAAAGUCACCAUCUUUUGCUAGAAGAGUGUUUGUUACAGCUUCUGUUUGUUGUGACUUUAAAGUCAGGCCAAUUCACCAAUAUUUAAAAUGUGUUCGGUCAUUUGUAAUUUUUUCAUUAUGGAAAAAAGUAAGAA
Long non-coding RNA from Poecilia latipinna (sailfin molly), 502 nucleotides. RefSeq lists it as uncharacterized. NCBI's taxonomy places the organism in Eukaryota, Metazoa, Chordata, Actinopteri, Cyprinodontiformes, Poeciliidae. The transcript has 3 exons. The record is from RefSeq and is a predicted model, not a curated record.